AGAUUGAACGCUGGCGGCAUGCCUUACACAUGCAAGUCGAACGGCAGCACGGGAGCAAUCCUGGUGGCGAGUGGCGAACGGGUGAGUGAUACAUCGGAACGUGCCCAAUCGUGGGGGAUAACGCAGCGAAAGCUGUGCUAAUACCGCAUAAGAUCUACGGAUGAAAGCAGGGGAUCGCAAGACCUUGCGCGAAUGGAGCGGCCGAUGGCAGAUUAGGUAGUUGGUGAGGUAAAGGCUCACCAAGCCUUCGAUCUGUAGCUGGUCUGAGAGGACGACCAGCCACACUGGGACUGAGACACGGCCCAGACUCCGUACGGGAGCAGCAGGUGGGAAUUUGGACAAGUGGGACGAAAGCCUGACUCCAGCCAGUCGCGCGUGCAGGAUGAAGUCCGUUGGUUAGUAAACGUGUACGUUUUAGUACGUAACGAAACGUUCUAC
Molecule: ribosomal RNA, 438 nt
Filed under: uncultured soil bacterium
Lineage: Bacteria
Description: bacterial SSU rRNA
Rfam family: Bacterial small subunit ribosomal RNA
Source: RNAcentral